UGGGGAAUUUUGGACAAUGGGGGCAACCCUGAUCCAGCAAUGCCGCGUGUGUGAAGAAGGCCUUCGGGUUGUAAAGCACUUUUGUCCGGAAAGAAAACGUCGUGGUUAAUACCCGUGGCGGCUGACGGUACCGGAAGAAUAAGCACCGGCUAACUACGUGCCAGCAGCCGCGGUAAUACGUAGGGUGCAAGCGUUAAUCGGAAUUACUGGGCGUAAAGCGUGCGCAGGCGGUCCGCUAAGACAGAUGUGAAAUCCCCGGGCUUAACCUGGGAACUGCAUUUGUGACUGGCGGGCUAGAGUAUGGCAGAGGGGGGUAGAAUUCCACAUGUAGCAGUGAAAUGCGUAGAGAUGUGGAGGAAUACCGAUGGCGAAGGCAGCCCCCUGGGCCAAUACUGACGCUCAUGCACGAAAAGCGUGGGGGAGCAAAACAGGAUUCAGAUACCCUGGUAGUCCACGCCCUAAACGAUGUCAAACUAGUUGUCGGGUCUUCAUUGACUUGGUAACGUAGCUAACGCGUGAAGUUGACCGCCUGGGGAGUACGGUCGCAAGAUUAAAACUCAAAGGAAUUGACGGGGUCAUAGCUGUUUCCUG
RNAcentral lists this ribosomal RNA (591 nucleotides) under uncultured bacterium. RNAcentral's name for it is "partial 16S ribosomal RNA". It matches the Rfam family "Bacterial small subunit ribosomal RNA", at positions 355 to 1376 of the family's 1533-position model. The record is from RNAcentral.